UCCCCUCACCGCUUUACCGGCACACUCUGCGCUAUUUAUAGGGAACAGAAGACACCAAUUGUCAAAAAUCCCAGAAACUGUCAUAUCUUAGUUAAUGUGGAGAGUCAGAAAACAGAACUUGCUAUUCGAAAGUCUUCUUAAAUUUGAUUUUUUAAUUUUUCUCGUCAUUUUCCAAUAUUCGUCCAUUCUGGUGGAACCGAGGAACGAGAGAAGCAUUUGAUAAGCAUACGGACACCGAGGGCCGAGCGAGACGGGUUUGAGGUCAUAAGUGAGCACUGAAUGAGGGACUGGAGUGUCCUAGAUCGGUCAUGCCCUGAGGUGUGUGCCCUCUGCCACUCCAUCUGCCCUUUGAGAGCAGCACAGUGCUUCAUGUCACCCUGACACCCAGAGGCCACAGCGAGGCCGCAAUGACACUGAAUUAUAUAGCAUGAGGUAAAAAUACAGGAGCUGAAUCCACCACGGUACAACACAGAGCGGCGCUGUGGGCAGUCGAGGCCAUGGAGCAGGAGGAAAAAAGAGAAAGAGUGUAUGUUGCAAGCACCAGGCUACAGAAGGAGAGCAGACCCAAGGGAGCAGCCCUGCGCCUGCAGCCCCAUGAUGAUGAUUGAUACAGGCAGGACACACACACCCCAGCCGCUCAGCAAAAUUAAAAGCCUAUUUUGUAAAGUUGUAAAGGAGCAGAAUGGCACAAGGCUAAGGCUGCUCCCCACCCCUCCUCCCUCCUCUCACCGCCGGGGUCCCGUUUAGUGUCUUUGGUAUCAUCUACUCCUCAGGGAGCAGGCAGAGGGACUGUUACACGCCUUUCACUCAAGCACAUGAAUGCGCACAAACAGACACACACACUCAACCUCCUGCAUAUGCCCUCAAGACUGGAGCGUGUCUGCUUGAUGAAUGUUUCCAUGUGUGUGUGUCCAUGUGUGUGCAUGUGUCUCCAGCUGCUAAGAUCAUAGAGAUACAACAUCACAUAAAAAUACACAAGCUACUAACAUUUUAUCAGCACGAUUCA
This is a long non-coding RNA of Carassius carassius (crucian carp), 1006 nucleotides long. RefSeq lists it as uncharacterized. The transcript has 4 exons. The record is from RefSeq and is a predicted model, not a curated record. Lineage: Eukaryota; Metazoa; Chordata; Actinopteri; Cypriniformes; Cyprinidae.